Molecule: ribosomal RNA, 440 nt
Filed under: uncultured bacterium
Lineage: Bacteria
Description: partial 16S ribosomal RNA
Rfam family: Bacterial small subunit ribosomal RNA
Source: RNAcentral
CCUACGGGGGGCAGCAGUGGGGAAUAUUGCACAAUGGGGGAAACCCUGAUGCAGCGACGCCGCGUGAGCGAUGAAGUAUUUCGGUAUGUAAAGCUCUAUCAGCAGGGAAGAAAAUGACGGUACCUGACUAAGAAGCCCCGGCUAACUACGGCCCAGCAGCCGCGGUCAUACGGAGGGGGCAAGCGUUAUCCGGAUGUACUGGGUGUAAAGGGAGCGUAGACGGUUCUGCAAGUCAGAGGUGAAAGCCCGGGGCUCAACCCCGGGACUGCAUUUGAAACUGGAAGGCUAGAGUGUGGGAGAGGCAGGCGGAAUUCCUGGUGUAGCGGUGAAAUGCGUAGAUAUCAGGAGGAACACCAGUGGCGAAGGCGGCCUGCUGGACGAUGACUGACGUUGAGGCUCGAAAGCGUGGGGAGCAAACAGGAUUAGAUACCCUGGUAGUC